GACAGAGGGUGCAAACGUUGUUCGGAAUUAUUGGGCGUAAAGGGCGCGUAGGCGGCUUGAUGUGUCAAAGGUGAAAUCCCUCGGCUCAACUGAGGAACUGCCUUUGAAACUGUCUGGCUUGAGGCCGGGAGAGGGUAGCGGAAUUCCCAGUGUAGCGGUGAAAUGCGUAGAUACUGGGAGGAACACCGGUGGCGAAGGCGGCUACCUGGACCGGUUCUGACGCUGAUGCGCGAAAGCGUGGGUAGCAAACAGG
This 253-nucleotide ribosomal RNA is filed under the name uncultured bacterium. RNAcentral describes it as "partial 16S ribosomal RNA". It matches the Rfam family "Bacterial small subunit ribosomal RNA", at positions 524 to 776 of the family's 1533-position model. The record is from RNAcentral.